CGCGGGGUGGAGCAGCCCGGUGGCUCAUCAGGCUCAUAAGCUGAAGGUCAAAGGUUCAAAUCCUAUCCCCGCAACCA
This 77-nucleotide transfer RNA is filed under the name Bradyrhizobium sp. CIAT3101. Its description in RNAcentral is "tRNA-Met". It matches the Rfam family "tRNA". From Rfam's summary of the family: Transfer RNA (tRNA) molecules are approximately 80 nucleotides in length. Their secondary structure includes four short double-helical elements and three loops (D, anti-codon, and T loops). Lineage: Bacteria; Pseudomonadati; Pseudomonadota; Alphaproteobacteria; Hyphomicrobiales; Nitrobacteraceae. The record is from RNAcentral.